Long non-coding RNA from Neofelis nebulosa (Clouded leopard), 3052 nucleotides. RefSeq lists it as uncharacterized. The transcript is spliced from 5 exons. The record is from RefSeq and is a predicted model, not a curated record. Lineage: Eukaryota; Metazoa; Chordata; Mammalia; Carnivora; Felidae.
GUCUGAAACUUACUAUGACCUCGCCUCGGAGUUUCCAAUUCUGUCCCAUUCUCCUUAUCAAGGCAGCCUUAGCCUGCCUGAUUUCAAAGGUGGGGGCUGCAGAGGGAGAUUGACUGAUAGUGUGGACUGGAUUUAGGAUUUGCUCCCAAAGAACAAGAGCACAGAAAGGGGAAAAUGGCAACUUUACGGUGAAGAAAUCUGUCAGACCGCACCUUACCCAAGUCACACAGGAGCCCUGUCACAGUCCAUGAAGAAUGGCACUCCCUAGCACUGAAUGGAAGGAGGAACAGAAGAGGAUUUGGAGACCGUGUUGCCAGUUCUGUUACCAAGGAAGAAGUUACCUGGGGAAAGCAACGAAAGGUCCAAAUAUCUGGCUUCUAACAGCAGGGCCCGACUUCAAGAGAACAUCGCUUCCAACAUAUAUUCUGUGAACAUCAGCCAGGUUUGCUUUUUUGGUGUCUGGCUGCCUCUGUCCUCUGUCCUGCCAGCAGUGACACUAGCUGCACGAACAGCCCGGUUAAAAAAUGGGCAAAAGAAUUUGAACGGGCCCGUCACAAAGGAAGACAUGCGUGUGGCCAAGAAGCACAUAGCAGUUCUCAACAUCGUCAGUCAUGGGGGAAACGGGCGUUAACACCGCAAGGAGAAACCACCGCACGCUCACUGGAGUGGCUAAAAGUCCAAAGAGUAGCAGGAGUUGGUGAGACUAUUAAUGGUACAGCUCCUUUGAAAACCGUUGGCAGUUUUACAAAAAACUGAACAAAUACUUACGGUUCAGCAACUCCACUCAAGAAUUCCACCCAAAGGCGGGGGCAACUGGGUGUCUCCUUCGGUUAAGCGACGACUCUUGAUUUCAGCUCAGGUCAUGAUCUCAUGGUCAUGAGACUGAGCCCGAUGUCAGGCUCUACACUGACAAUGUGGAACCUGCUUGGGAUUCUCUCUCCCUUUCUCCCUGCUCCUCUGCUGCUCACGUGCUCUCUCUGUCUCUUUCUCAAUCUCUCUCUAAAUAAGCAAACUUUUUUUUUAAAGACUUCCUCCUGAAGGUAAAUGAAACAUGACCACCAGAAGAUUUAUACAAGAAUGUUCAUAGCAGCUUUAUUCAGAAGAGGCAAAAUGCAGAAGGCAUCCAGGUGCCCAUAAGUAAGAGAAAAGGUAAAUAAAUGCUAGCAUAAUUAUAUAAAGUAGUAAACAUGGAUGAACAUGAAAAUAUUGGGCUGAGCAAGAAGGGCCUUAUCAAAAGACAAUAUAGUAAAUACUAUGUGAAUGUUUAGGACACACAAAAUUAAUCUGUGUAGUUGAAAAAUGAAAAAGAACUAUUGACUUGUUGUGGUAAGAAUGAGGUUGGAAAGGGGUAAGAGAACUUUCUGGUGUCAGGGAAAAGUUCUGUAUCUUGGUGAGUCUUGAGUUCCAGGACUUUAUGCAUCUGUCAAAACCCACAGAAUGAUACAUUUAAUAUACAUAUAUCUAUGUAAAUUUUACCUCAGAGGCAAAAAAAUGAGCCAUAAACAAAUGUUGAGUUCUAAUUAAUGAUACAUAUAAUGAAGUGUUUAGCGGGAAAUGUACUAAUGUCUAAAACUUACAGUGAAAUGCAUUCAAAAAUGGUUUAAUGUGUGCUCAGAUACAUUACUUCAGUAAGGGUCAGAAAAUGUGACUUACAAGCUCUAGGAGUUGCUUUAUGGUGCUCACUGUCCUCUUUUCGGUAGCUUUGGAAUUUUCCAUAAAGUAAUGUUCAGAAAAUCAGGAAUGACAACCGAAAAAGAAUACCUGCUUUUAUUGAGAAAUUACUUUGUGCCACACUCUCUGUUAUCCUUAUAGCUUAUUUUUAAAUUCUCUCAAAAUCCUGAGGGUGGAUAUUAUUAUCUCCAUUUAUCCUCAGGAGAGAAAACUUAACACCCGGAGAGGCUCAGUGAACUUUUCCAAGAUCAAAUGGCAAAAGAUAAAAUGAUGCAACUACUUUGGAAACAUUCUGACCAUUUUCCGUAAAACUAAACAAGUACUCAUGCCCCAGAAAUUCCUCUCAAGAAAUCCUUUCCAAGAGAGAUGGAAACAUAACGUCCAUGAAAAAGACGCGUACAAGAAUGCUGAUAGCAGCUUUGUUUAUAGUAUAGAAUCCAAAUACAGGUCUUUCCCAGUUUAAGCUCUUAAUGUUCAUGAUAUCCUGGUUUAAAAAAAAUGGAAGCCUAUCCUCCAUCCUCAAGCAGCUGUUGCUUAGGUGGGCAACCGGGUGUGUGUUUACAAAAGAAUGUGUGUCUGUCUGCUUUUCUUGGUUCUAACAUCUCUCUUGAUCAUGACUCUCAGACGGGGCUAGCACACGAGGCUAAGGGUGAGGAGUCAGAGCCAAGAAGAUGAGAUGCCGUCUGGGAGCCAGGAGAGUGUGAGCCGGGCAGGCUGGCAGCACAGCUCUUUGAUGUCUGAGGAAGCCGGGGAAAGGCUGGCCACAGGGCCCUGUGGCGCCCGGGUCAGAAGGGCUGAGCAUCCACACGCAGUGGCCAGCACAGACUCACGGUGCCCUGAGACCAGCAGGAAACCACACCAAGAUGACGGUAGGGCUCAGACCAAUCUAAAGUCUACGGCAAGAGUUUGGGCCGCAAAAAGAACUGGGUGUACAACCAUAGGACCUAGUGGUUGCUGUUGUUUAAUAGAUUUUAUUUUUUCUUCUAAAGCAGUUUGAGGCCCACCACAAAAUGAAACAGAGAGUACAGAGACUUCCCACAUAUCCCUUACGGCAACACAGGCCCAGCCUCUCCCUCUGUCAACAUCCCCCAUGGGUUUUGACAAACGUAUAAUGGCAUGUGUCCACCACCGUAGUAUCAUACAGAGUAGCUCCGCUGCCCCCCAAAUGCCUGUGUUCUACGUGUUCCUCCCUCCCUCACCCCAGACUCCUGGCAACCGCCGAUCUUUUUACUGUCUCCAUAGUUUUGCCUUUUGCAGGAUAUCAUCUGGCUGAAACUGUACAGUAAGUAACCCUUCCAGAUUGGCUUCUUUUAAAUUUUUUUUUAACGUUUAUUUAUUUUUGAGACAGAGAGAGACAGAGUAUGAAUGGGGGAGGGGCAGA